Molecule: ribosomal RNA, 400 nt
Filed under: uncultured bacterium
Lineage: Bacteria
Description: bacterial SSU rRNA
Rfam family: Bacterial small subunit ribosomal RNA
Source: RNAcentral
GAAUCUUAGACAAUGGGGGAAACCCUGAUCUAGCCAUGCCGCGUGAGCGAUGAAGGCCUUAGGGUUGUAAAGCUCUUUCGCCUGGGAAGAUAAUGACGGUACCAGGUAAAGAAGCCCCGGCUAACUCCGUGCCAGCAGCCGCGGUAAUACGGAGGGGGCUAGCGUUGUUCGGAAUUACUGGGCGUAAAGCGCACGUAGGCGGAUCGGAAAGUUGGGGGUGAAAUCCCGGGGCUCAACCCCGGAACUGCCUCCAAAACUAUCGGUCUUGAGUUCGAGAGAGGUGAGUGGAAUUCCGAGUGUAGAGGUGAAAUUCGUAGAUAUUCGGAGGAACACCAGUGGCGAAGGCGGCUCACUGGCUCGAUACUGACGCUGAGGUGCGAAAGUGUGGGGAGCAAACAGG